Molecule: ribosomal RNA, 497 nt
Filed under: uncultured bacterium
Lineage: Bacteria
Description: partial 16S ribosomal RNA
Rfam family: Bacterial small subunit ribosomal RNA
Source: RNAcentral
GAUGAACGCUGGCGGCGUGCCCAAUACAUGCAAGUCGAGCGAACAGACGAGGAGCUUGCUCCUCUGACGUUAGCGGCGGACGGGUGAGUAACACGUGGAUAACCUACCUAUAAGACUGGGAUAACUUCGGGAAACCGGAGCUAAUACCGGAUAAUAUAUUGAACCGCAUGGUUCAAUAGUGAAAGACGGUUUUGCUGUCACUUAUAGAUUGAUCCGCGCCGCAUUAGCUAGUUGGUAAGGUAACGGCUUACCAAGGCAACGAUGCGUAGCCGACCUGAGAGGGUGAGCGGCCACACUGGAACUGAGACACGGUCCAGACUCCUACGGGAGGCAGCAGUAGGGAAUCUUCCGCAAUGGGCGAAAGCCUGACGGAGCAACGCCGCGUGAGUGAUGAAGGUCUUCGGAUCGUAAAACUCUGUUAUUAGGGAAGAACAAAUGUGUAAGUAACUAUGCACGUCUUGACGGUACCUAAUCAGAAAGCCACGGCUAACUACGUG